CCCAAAGGAAAUAGGAAACUAUUUUGUUUUACCUCUCUUCUCUAUGCCUUUUUUAGGUUGAAGAACUCUACCAACCCCUGGGAAAUUUGGCAAUUCCUGAACUGACUAUGAAGUAUUGUCUUUGCCCAUUAGAAUCCUCCUGCUGUCUCUAGCCAUACCCUGCAACGUCACUGCCUCUCUUUAUCAUCCUGGCUUCUUCAUGAAUGUAACAAAUCGAAUGAAAGAGGAGAAGGAAAGAGGAGUUUAUUAAUUUGCUAACAGAUGAGGAGACUACCAGACUCCCAUCUUGAAGUACCAACGUCCUGCUUUUGAGCAGAAGUACAGAGCUUUUAAAGGUUCUGGUUCAUCCUAUCUUUGGCUAAGACAAUCAUGUGACUUCCGCCUGGAUUAUUCCCUUGAGCCAUCUCCUGUGGCACAAAGAACAAAGGACACUCCAGCCCCUCUUGACCACGGGCCUGCAGCAGAAAUGUUGGAAAAGCAGAGAUGAUGUCCCAAAGCUCGUGACUGAUUUUCUGGCAAAGAAAUUUGACCUGGACCAGUUGAUAACCCACGUGUUACCUUUUAAAGACAUCAACAAAGGAUUCGAACUGCUCUAUUCAGGGCAAAGCAUUCGUACUGUGCUGACGUUCUGAGAAGCUCAGGGCAGGG
Molecule: non-coding RNA, 648 nt
Organism: Microcebus murinus (gray mouse lemur)
Lineage: Eukaryota; Metazoa; Chordata; Mammalia; Primates; Cheirogaleidae
Source: RefSeq, a predicted model, not a curated record